This 22-nucleotide microRNA is filed under the name Callorhinchus milii (elephant shark). RNAcentral's name for it is "Cmi-Mir-96-P3-v1_3p* (star (passenger))". The record is from RNAcentral. Lineage: Eukaryota; Metazoa; Chordata; Chondrichthyes; Chimaeriformes; Callorhinchidae. RNAcentral also lists the same sequence under 13 other names.
UGAAUUACCAUAGGGCCAUAAA